CAGAGGGUAGUUUAAAGUACAGAAUGCCAGCUUUGGGAGUUGGUGGUGGCGGUUUGAUUCCGCCCCUUUUGA
Molecule: transfer RNA, 72 nt
Filed under: Sillago sp. 3 SS-2021
Lineage: Eukaryota; Metazoa; Chordata; Actinopteri; Sillaginidae
Description: tRNA-Pro
Rfam family: tRNA
About the family: Transfer RNA (tRNA) molecules are approximately 80 nucleotides in length.
Source: RNAcentral